GAUGAACGCUGGCGGCGUGCCUAAUACAUGCAAGUCGAGCGAACAGACGAGGAGCUUGCUCCUCUGACGUUAGCGGCGGACGGGUGAGUAACACGUGUAUAACCUACCUAUAAGACUGGGAUAACUUCGGGAAACCGGAGCUAAUACCGGAUAAUAUAUUGAACCGCAUGGUUCAAUAGUGAAAGACGGUUUUGCUGUCACGUAUAGAUGGUUCCGCGCCGCAUUAGCUAGUUGGUAAGGUAACGGCUUACCAAGGCAACGAUGCGUAGCCGACCUGAGAGGGGGAUCGCCCACACUGGAACUGAGACACGGUCCAGAGGCCUACGGGAGGCAGCAGUAGGGUAUCGUCGGCAGUGGGCGAAAGCUUGACGGAGCAACGCCGCGUGAGUGAUGAAGGUCUUCGGAUCGGAAAACUCUGUUAUUAGGGAAGAACAACUGUGUAAGUAACUGUGCACGUCUUGACGGUACCUAAUCAGAAAGCCACGGCUAACUACGUG
This 497-nucleotide ribosomal RNA is filed under the name uncultured bacterium. RNAcentral's name for it is "partial 16S ribosomal RNA". It matches the Rfam family "Bacterial small subunit ribosomal RNA", at positions 28 to 507 of the family's 1533-position model. The record is from RNAcentral.